Scophthalmus maximus (turbot) is the source of this 4295-nucleotide long non-coding RNA. RefSeq lists it as uncharacterized. The transcript has 8 exons. The record is from RefSeq and is a predicted model, not a curated record. NCBI's taxonomy places the organism in Eukaryota, Metazoa, Chordata, Actinopteri, Pleuronectiformes, Scophthalmidae.
ACAUGAGCAUUGAGCUGCUAGUGUUUUUACUUGACUGUUGGAAAUUCACUAGACUGUGAUUCAGCUGCUGUAAUUAAAAAUGAUAUAUUAACCAAAGGUUAACAUACAUAAAUGUGAAUGAAUAUAAGCAGUAGCAGAAAGCGUUGUUGUUGUUCGACGUCAAAACACGUGGUUCGUUUAAUAUGUAAAAAUUACAUUUAUCUGGAAGAGACUUUAAGUUCCGUCCUUGUUAUCUUUGAUAAUACAAGACUUUUGAAAUGUCUUGAAUUUGCUUUAUGUAAAGGGGCUUUAUGUAUGAUCUUGCUAUUGCUACUAUCAACAUGCUACUAGCCGGCUAGCCCCGGGCCAGGCCGAAAGCGGGUCGCCGUUGCGUUCAGGCUGUCCAGGUGAACAGAUGCAGGUAUUUGCUGAGUUAAAUAGUAUCUCCAAGAAUCUUCAAGGCGUCUUCUUUGAGGCUCUGGACCAGCACAUUCCACAUUUCAUGGAACUCUUCAAGUAAAAAAAAAAGAUCUGUUGGACAGAAGUUGGAUCGAGUUAAUGCAGCCCGUCAACUGGACGUGACUGCAGUACAUUUCCAUUGUAGUCGGCAACGAUGCCAAUGAAUUCUACAAGACAUGCUUUGAUAUGACGAGAGACGAGGCCCUAGAAUCCGUCACAGUUGGUCUGCCAGCUGUUCUGAGUGAAGAUGGUUCUGAGCAGGGUCCAAGUUGAAUACACCUCCAGCCCAUCUCCACUGUCGUUGUCCUUGAUGGAGGGGUCCGGAUCUCGACGACAUGAACGAUUACACACGUUUAAUGUAAUUACACACACGUAGUGUUUGUGUUCCUGGUUGCAGAGACGAUCCUACGGAUGAUCCACUGGCCAGCGCGCAAAGAUGGGUGAUGUGCCUGCACACAAACACGCACCUAUACAGAAUAUAACACAAUGUUCUCCUCCCUUUCUGUGCCAAUUAUAAAUUUGUUUGCACAAAUGUACAUUAACACUAAAUUUACAAAAUAUUAGAAACGUCUCACUGACUCUAACAAGACCCUUUUACACAAUCUCUCACCCAUUUAUCUUAUAUCUUAAAAAAUAUCUAAGCAACCCAUUUUUUUUCAUCUACAUCUGCGUGGAUAUAGACUGAAUUUAUAUUUAUGAAAGAAUGCCAUUUACUCAUCAUCCUCGUGCUUCGUGAAAAUAGGGAAGACGUUCACUCUUUCUGACGACCCUGACAAAACUUUCAGCACCACUUUUUGAUGAAAAGUAAAGAGCCCACUGGAAAGAAUUAAUUUGACUGUUUUAAAAAUGAACACAUACAUGUCUGUUAACUGCAUUUGUUAAAAGUCAAAGCUGGUGAAAGGAUUUUGCUAAAUACAUUAUGAUGGACAAUCACAAAUACAAGUGAAACUGAAUCCAAUAAUCUAACUGUCUCAUUUGAAAGAAAACCACCUUGUAUGUGAAGUUUGUGUGACUGAGAUUUGACAAAGUGAUACUAAGACGUGUGAAGCUGUGUGUGUUUGCAGGCCUCUCUCCUCCCCCAGUGAUUUCACUUAAUGCAUUAAUGUGCUCUGAAUGACAAUCAGGCGCUGAGCUUGAACUUGACCGAUGGAAUUGCCUGGGAAAAGAGGCGCGACUUUGGCCCUUUGCUCCUCUCCUUUAUGAAGAGGGGGCUGCUAAGACUGAUGUCAGCGCUCAUUUGCAUAAACCUCAGCCUGUUCCCAAUUAAACCAGGAAAGCAGCAAGAGCACCAGUCUGUUUUCACAUGGCCGCCAAUGGACCAACACCUCCGACGGAGAGGACGGAGCAGAAGUGGCUGCUGAAACGAAUGUGCGGAGUGAGGGCAGAAGUACAGUCACGUACACACACACACACACAAAGUCCAUGUCUGAGCCUGCAGGGCAAGAGGUCAGCAGACACACACACACACACACACACACACACAGUCCAACUCCUGGCUCGAAGGAACCAAAGUCACCCACUGGGUCAGAGAGAGGCUUCGUUUCUCCAGAGUUACAGUGGCAGGAAGAGGAGGAGGAGGCAGUGGAGGAGGAAAAAGAGAGAGCAGAGUGGGUGGAAGGAUGGAAGGAAGGAGAGAAGGAUAGAAGCAGUUCGAGGAGGUGGUUCGAAGCGGGUGAACCCAGAGCAGGUGAACACAGCUGUGGAUCGCCAUGGGCUCUCUGGCUGCCUUCCUCCUGUGGCCCCGGCGCUGCAUGCAGGGGUCCCGGGGAGACGGCAGGGGCCAGCCAAAGCUGCGGCAGAGUGGGCACGCUAGGCCAUCCAAGCCAGGAGAGAGGCAGGUGAGGCGGGUGAGCCGAAAACUCAUCCCCGCCGGCUAGGAGCCUCCACGGCAGAGCGGAGCAGCAGAAAUCAAUACAGAGGAGAGAGGCUAGCAGAGGUUGCCCAUCACCGCCUGCAGGCCUCGGAGCCCAGGGACCAACCACCACCACUGCUCCCAGCUCCUCUCUCCGCUUCUCUUUCUAUCUCUCUCCAACAGUCUCAGCAUCAGCCAGGGCCAGAGUCCUAACCUUACAACCACCCCACACACAGUGUGUGUGUGUGUGUGUGUGUGUGUGUGUGUGUGUGUGUGUGUGUGUGUGUGUGUGUGUGUGUGUGUGUGUGUGUGUGUGUGUGUGUGUGUGUGUGUGUGUGUGUGUGUGUGUGUGUGUGUGUGUGUGUCAGUGUGUGCACAUGUGUGUGAAACACAGAGAAAAAGGGAGAGCGAAGAGACACAGAGAGAGAGAGAGUCUUUGUGUGUGGUUCCGCUGGAGGGGUUUCUGCUGCGUCCAACACCACUUCAUAAAACUUUGUCAGAGAGACAUGGAGACAGCAAGGGAGGGAGAGAAAUGGAAGAAGAAUAAGCAUGUCGACAGCUCGUCGAAGGUUCCGUUUCUUCCAGCUCCCUCCCUCCUAUUAGUCAUUCCACCUUAACUGUUUGAAUAAGGAUCCGUGUGAGCGCCUGGCACACAGGACGUCCCUGCUCAGUCGCACUUUUCAAGCACUCAACGCUCGUAAGAUCUCGCGAGCCGGGAUGAAAGGACAAUUUGAACUUUCUCUCUCAUCCACUGUAUCAGACACAGCCUGUCUUUUCGCCUUAGAUUUCCUCGCCCAUGACUACAGCAGCUCCCAUCAGAGGAUAUGGCAGCGCAGUAUUGAUCUUUAGCGUGGUGGAGAGGAAGGUGGGUCUGGGUUUUCAUACAUCUCUCGCUCUCAAUGCGUGUGGAAAUAGCACCUGAAGUCCACUUACUGCUGUGCGGCGAGGAUCCCAUGGCAGCACAAGUGAAUGGCUGCUAAUUGAAUGAGAGAUAAAAAGGACAGUGGUUGCACCUGUUCGGUGACCUCCUCCUCCUCAUCCUCCUCCUCCUCCUCCUCAGUUUUUUCCAUCUGACUUUUUCCUCCUUCACAUUUACACCAAUCGCUCUCCACACAAAGAAACUGGCUCUUCAGAUGUUUAAACCAAAAACUGCUGGUGACUUGAGAAAAUUGGCUAAAUCCUCAGAAAUGAAAAUACCUGGUUUGGAACCAGUGUAGAGGUAGAAGCCUUCAAAAGAAAACAGGGGAGGAGAAGCACAGUUCUUUUUUUUCUUUUUGACGAACUGAUAGAAGAACUCACCUGAAGUUCUGAGAAGUCACGCCAGAAGACGUGUGGGCCUGGAAGAACAUUACAGGACAGACGGACAGUUUGCCAAACGUACACAGGCUACAACCGGACUUAUACCUCUUGACGCAGCGAGGAAUGCCACGGUGAAAAGCUGCGACCAAGCUUCCAUCAUUGGCCCUGACUCUCCUGCAAAGCACACGUAGCUGAAUUUCUCUGCGCCCGUUCAUCCUAUCGGCCACAUAUGGAAAAUGUCACAUAUGCAAGAGCAGCUGGACUCACAUCUUCAGAGUGUGAUUAUCAGCUGUGCUGUCGGCCGUCUCUGCGGAUGUGGACAGGUAAGUCGGAGCCGCUUCUGACAGGUACGUUUAGAGGUCGAAUCAACUUACGAGCCGUCUGAAGUGAACACUGGGGCUGCCGCGCAAUAUUUUCCAAAUUUAGUUUCAUUAGAUGUGUAUUACUGUGUUUGAGUCCAAUUUUUUAGGUUGGAGAUUGGAUGACAGCCCCAGGAGUCCUUCUUGUUACUGCUGUAAUUUACAUUCAAGUAUUUGACAAGAGUUUGUCGCUGUAGAAUUACUUUCCUCUUUUCUGAGAAAUUGUAUACACUUAUUUUUUCAUAUGCUCGUUUUCAUACUGCAAUGAACUCAAUUUUUAAUCAGUGACAUUGCCAAAUGCCAAAAGUGUUAUUUUAAAAAAAUAAAACGGAACAAUUUGUGAAACA